RNAcentral lists this ribosomal RNA (858 nucleotides) under uncultured bacterium. Its description in RNAcentral is "bacterial SSU rRNA". It matches the Rfam family "Bacterial small subunit ribosomal RNA", at positions 93 to 952 of the family's 1533-position model. The record is from RNAcentral.
GACCGGCGCAAGGGUGCGUAACGCGUGAGCAACAUGCCCGUAUCAGGAGAAUAAUCCAGGGAAACUUGGUCUAAUACCCCAUAGUAAAUAUUAAAGGCAUCUUUAAUAUUUUAAAGCUUUGGUGGAUACGGAUUGGCUCGCGUGACAUUAGCUAGAUGGUAAGGUAACGGCUUACCAUGGCUACGAUGUCUAGGGGUUCUGAGAGGAAGAUCCCCCACACUGGAACUGAGACACGGUCCAGACUCCUACGGGAGGCAGCAGUGAGGAAUAUUGGACAAUGGAUGGAAAUCUGAUCCAGCCAUGCCGCGUGCAGGAAGACGGCCCUAUGGGUUGUAAACUGCUUUUAUAUGGGAGCAAUAAGGCCUACGUGUAGGUUGAUGAGAGUACCAUAUGAAUAAGCACCGGCUAACUCCGUGCCAGCAGCCGCGGUAAUACGGAGGGUGCAAGCGUUAUCCGGAUUUAUUGGGUUUAAAGGGUGCGUAGGCGGUUUGAUAAGUCAGCGGUGAAAUAUUUCAGCUUAACUGGAAGGGUGCCGUUGAUACUGUCAGGCUUGAAUUUAGUUGCUGUGGGUGGAAUGUGUGGCGUAGCGGUGAAAUGCAUAGAUAUCACACAGAAUAUCGAUUGCGAAGGCAGCUCACAAAGCUAAAAUUGACGCUGAUGCACGAAAGUGUGGGGAUCAAACAGGAUUAGAUACCCUGGUAGUCCACACUGUAAACGAUGAUAACUCGCUGUCGGCGAUACAUAGUCGNNGGCCAAGCGAAAGCGAUAAGUUAUCCACCUGGGGAGUACGACCGCAAGGUUGAAACUCAAAGGAAUUGACGGGGGCCCGCNNNNNNNGAGGAACAUGUGGUUUAAUUC